GAUGAACGCUAGCGGCAGGCUUAAUACAUGCAAGUCGAACGGCAGCGGGUCCAGCAAUGGAUGCCGGCGAGUGGCGCACGGGUGCGUAACACGUAUGCAACCUACCUUUAACCGGGACAUAACCUCGAGAAAUCGUGGCUAAUAUGCCAUAAUAUCUUUGAAUCGCAUGGUUUGAAGAUCAAAAUUCCGAUGGUUUUAGAUGGGCAUGCGCGACAUUAGCUAGUUGGUGAGGUAAUGGCUCACCAAGGCUACGAUGUUUAGGGGGUCUGAGAGGAUGAUCCCCCACACUGGUACUGAGACACGGACCAGACUCCUACGGGAGGCAGCAGUAAGGAAUAUUGGGCAAUGGGCGCAAGCCUGACCCAGCCAUGCCGCGUGCAGGAUGACAGCCCUACGGGUUGUAAACUGCUUUUAUACGGGAAAAAACCCUCUGACGUGUCAGAGGCUGAUGGUACCGUAAGAAUAAGCAUCGGCUAACUCCGUGCCAGCAGCCGCCGCGG
Molecule: ribosomal RNA, 500 nt
Filed under: uncultured bacterium
Lineage: Bacteria
Description: partial 16S ribosomal RNA
Rfam family: Bacterial small subunit ribosomal RNA
Source: RNAcentral